AACGAACGCUGGCGGCAUGCCUAACACAUGCAAGUCGAACGAGACCUUCGGGUCUAGUGGCGCACGGGUGCGUAACGCGUGGGAACCUGCCCUUAGGUUCGGAAUAACUCUCCGAAAGGGGUGCUAAUACCGGAUAAUGUCUUCGGACCAAAGAUUUAUCGCCUUUGGAUGGGCCCGCGUUGGAUUAGCUAGUUGGUAGGGUAAAAGCCUACCAAGGCGACAAUCCAUAGCUGGUCUGAGAGGAUGAUCAGCCACACUGGGACUGAGACACGGCCCAGACUCCUACGGGAGGCAGCAGUGGGGAAUAUUGGACAAUGGGCGAAAGCCUGAUCCAGCAAUGCCGCGUGAGUGAUGAAGGCCUUAGGGUUGUAAAGCUCUUUUACCCGGGAUGAUAAUGACAGUACCGGGAGAAUAAGCUCCGGCUAACUCCGUG
RNAcentral lists this ribosomal RNA (433 nucleotides) under uncultured bacterium. RNAcentral's name for it is "partial 16S ribosomal RNA". It matches the Rfam family "Bacterial small subunit ribosomal RNA", at positions 29 to 507 of the family's 1533-position model. The record is from RNAcentral.